This is a long non-coding RNA of Argiope bruennichi, 517 nucleotides long. RefSeq lists it as uncharacterized. Lineage: Eukaryota; Metazoa; Arthropoda; Arachnida; Araneae; Araneidae. The transcript is spliced from 5 exons. The record is from RefSeq and is a predicted model, not a curated record.
AAUAUAAAAUUGUAUCUUAAAAUAUUUAUUUUCAGAAUAUGCAAAGAAAUUGGAAAGAAAGCUUGAAGACGCAGCUCGAGAUGGUUUCUCGUCAUCUGUCUAAUUUCCACCAGCUAGGAACCUGUAAAUCAUUUGACAAUUUUUCAAAUGAAGACUUAUCAAAAGAAGAUCUCUAAAGAAUUUCCAAAAUGUUUUUGAAAAACAUUCCUGACAGUUUUUUCUUACUAGUGUAUUUGAAGUACAUUAUUUAUCAAAAUUUGAUGCAUAAAUAAAUUAAACUUAAGGAACGCUCAGCCUUAUAUUUGAAAAGUAAUAAAUUGGAAAUAAAAAAUUGAACAGUAAUAAAUUGGAAAUUCCAAGCUUAUAAUAAAAAAAUAAUAAGAUUGGUGAAAAUAUAAGAUGGAACAUAAAUCUUAAUGGUUGUUUGGUUCCUCACCAAUAAAAAACACGAGAUGCACAUUUUCAGAAUUCAAUUCAGUUCUGGAUUUAUAUUCCUAGAUAAUUUUAUCAUGCGACA